This 315-nucleotide small RNA is filed under the name Pongo abelii (Sumatran orangutan). RNAcentral describes it as "processed transcript". Lineage: Eukaryota; Metazoa; Chordata; Mammalia; Primates; Hominidae. The record is from RNAcentral.
CAUUCCUGGUCCAGCUGGAGAACUACCCUCCCAACACAGAGGUCAACCUCACUCUGAUCUGGUGCGUGGUGCUGAAGCUGGCCAGCUUGGGGAUGUUCUCCCUCUCCCUGGGUCAGACCAUACUGUGCAUUGGCAGAGACAAGACCAGCUUGCUGGGAGAACUCCGUGGGGGAGGAGCUGUACAAGCUGAGUAUCUUCAACUUCCUUCUCACCGUGGCCUUCGCCUUCCUGGUCACCCUGCCUCGGAGGCUGCUGGUGGAUCGGUUCUCAGGCCGGUUCUGGGCCUGGCUGGAACGGGAGGAGUUCCUGGUCCCC